RNAcentral lists this ribosomal RNA (256 nucleotides) under uncultured bacterium. RNAcentral describes it as "partial 16S ribosomal RNA". It matches the Rfam family "Bacterial small subunit ribosomal RNA", at positions 524 to 776 of the family's 1533-position model. The record is from RNAcentral.
UACGUAGGGACCAAGCGUUGUUCGGAUUUACUGGGCGUAAAGGGCGCGUAGGCGGCGUGACAAGUCACUUGUGAAAUCUCCGGGCUUAACUCGGAACGGCCAAGUGAUACUGUCGUGCUAGAGUGCAGAAGGGGCAAUCGGGAAUUCUUGGUGUAGCGGUGAAAUGCGUAGAUAUCAAGAGGAACACCUGAGGUGAAGACGGGUUGCUGGGCUGACACUGACGCUGGAAGCGCGAAAGCCUAGGGGAGCAAACGGG